AGUCUGGUGCCAGCAGCCGCGGUAAUUCCAGCUCCAAUAGCGUAUAUUAAAGUUGUUGCAGUUAAAAAGCUCGUAGUUGGAUCUCAGGAUUUGGAUGGAUGGUUCGCUUUCGGGCGCUACUAUCUGUCUGACCUACUCUAGUCGUGGAUGCCUUGGGUGCUCUUAAUUGAGUGCUUUUGGUGCCCGACGCAAUUACUUUGAAAAAAUUAGAGUGCUCAAAGCAGGCGUAUUGCCUGAAUAGUGUUGCAUGGAAUAAUGAAAUAGGAGUUUACUUCUAUUUUGUUGGUUUUCGGAGGUGAACUAAUGAUUAACAGGGACAGACGGGGGCAUUUGUAUGGAGGGGUUAGAGGUGAAAUUCUUGGAUCCUCUCCAGACAAACUACUGCGAAAGCAUUUGCCAGGAAUGUUUUCACUAAUCAAGAACGAAAGUCAGAGGUUCGAAGACGAUCAGAUACCGUCCUAGUUCUGACCAUAAAUGAUGCCAUCUAACAAUCCACGAAGUUUGCUUGUACGAACUCGUGGGCGGUCCCCGGGAAACCAAAGAUUUUGGGUUCCGGGGGAAGUAUGGUUGCAAAGCUGAAACUUAAAGGAAUUGACGGAAGGGCACCACCAGGAGUGGAGCCUGCGGCUUAAUUUGACCCAACACGGGAAACCUCACCCGGCCCGGACACUUUUAGGAUUGACAGAUUGAAGGCUCUUUCUUGAUCAAGUGGUUGGUGGUGCAUGGCCGUUCUUAGUUGGUGGAGCGAUUUGUCUGGUUAAUUCCGAUAACGAACGAGACUCUACUCUGCUAAAUAGAACGUUGAUAUAUAAAAGUCAGUGCUGACUUCUUAGAGAGACUAACGGCGUUUAGCCGUGUGAGAAAGAGCAAUAACAGGUCUGUGAUGCCCUUAGAUGUCCGGGGCCGCACGCGCGCUACACUGACUGCAGCAACUAGUAUGCUCCUGGUUUGAAAAAACUGGGUAACCUGGUUGAAUUGCAGGCGUGACAGGGAUCAGAGUUUGCAAUUAUCCUCUGUGAACGAGGAAUUCCCAGUAAGCGCAAGUCAUUAGCUUGUGCUGAUUACGUCCCUGCCCUUUGUACACACCGCCCGUCGCUACUACCGAUUGAAUGGUUUAGUGAGGUCUUCGGAUUGGUGCUGAUGGAGUGGUUCUCUGCUCUGUUAGUGCCGAGAAGAUGAUCAAACUUGAUCAUUUAGAGGAAGUAAAAGUCGUAACAAGGU
This 1221-nucleotide ribosomal RNA is filed under the name metagenome. RNAcentral's name for it is "SSU rRNA". It matches the Rfam family "Eukaryotic small subunit ribosomal RNA", at positions 558 to 1800 of the family's 1831-position model. The record is from RNAcentral.